Molecule: long non-coding RNA, 5722 nt
Organism: Stegostoma tigrinum
Lineage: Eukaryota; Metazoa; Chordata; Chondrichthyes; Orectolobiformes; Stegostomatidae
Exons: 4
Source: RefSeq, a predicted model, not a curated record
AAGCAGCCUGUUGUGAGAUAUUAUUACAUACCUUUGGCGCAGCAAGUCCUGGUGGUGAUCUUUGAAAUUCACACAGAAGCAGGGGCAAGUGAUUUCAGACUCGCUUUAUUGACCACGACGAGGGGUGGGCCCUGGUAAACGCUUUUGAUUGGAAAUUUAUAAGCUGGGGAGAAGGCUGGCCUUUUAGAAGAACCUGGAAUAAAUUUCAACAAGGUGCCCGUGUUCGAGACAUAAACUUCCAGCAGUCGCCACCUUACCAAAUAGUCCCACAAUUAGGAGUACGCUGCUGCAUGUGGAAUAGUUAAGGGCUACGUAUUUUAUAGAAAGCUACAGCACACGGGUCACAUGAUUAUCGCAAGUCCUAAGUAUGCAUUGUCCUUACAAACCUGAGAAAAACCAUGUAUUUCUUCAAACGUGGCCUGGGGCCCUGUGAAUUCUGCCUCGAGGAAAUCGGGUACAGAAAGAUGAGGGUAAAGAUGGAAAUGAGAAGCAUUAAAGAAAAACAGAGACCCUUCUGAAGAAGGGUACCGACCCCAAACGUCAACGUUCUCCUACUCUGAUGCUGCCUGGCCUGCUGUGCUCCUCCAGCUCCAUACUGUGUUACCUCUGACUUCAGCAUCGACAGUUCCUACUAUCAGUUUUUUUUUAAAAAAAGUUGCCAUCACUCAAAAUGAACAAGUCUCUCAGACCAGAAAGGAUACUCUCAGCCGUGAGACAACAGAUGUUCUGACCACAAUCUUUCAGUUCUCUAUGGUUCCGUGUGUGAUGUCAGCGAGAGGACUGGACAGUGAUAAAUUUUACAGUCCUGUUCCGAAAUGUAUGCAUACAACUACAGACCAGAUAUCAAUGGUUGGAAAGUCUCCUUGACAACAUUGGCCAGAUCCAAAUUAAAAAUGACAUCCAGCAGAGAUUUACUGAAGUAGUGCCUGACAAACCAGACUGAAUUAUUUGAUGAAACAGUGGAGAAGGUUAAUGAAGGGGAUGUGGCAAUCACCGGAGACACCGGUACUUAUUACUCAUCACUAAAUGCUCUUGAGAAGGCAGUGUUGAGCUGCAGCUUUGAAUCACUGCAAUUUUGUUUGGCCGAGGUACACUCACAAUGCCAUUAACGCAUGAAUACUGGGACUUCCAUCGAAAGGCACCAACAUCACUGUGGGCUGCAGAUUUGUGGAUACAAUACUAGCCCCUGGCUAAGUUACUCAACUUAAAUGUGGACUGUGACAGUAAAUAUUAGCAAGCUGCUCCUGCCCCAGAAGGUAUCACAAUCUCGUCUAUACUGACAACCAUGCACAACCUCCGUCCAGUUGGCGCCAAUGGAUGUUGAUCAGCAAUGGGAAUACUGGCAGAUUCCUGGUCCUCAGCACAGCAGCAGCAAUUUGCAGAUAAUAGGUGCUUUUAUUGUGGUGAUAUACAUCUAACUUAAAACGAAGGCAACUGGCUGGAAGAGUCGCAACGUUGUACACAAACUGCACACAGAGUCCUUAAAGAUGAACUGUUUUAAAGACAAGAUACACAGACAACGCCAAUCAUUGCCAACAAGUGAUAGGGAGGCAAGCUACCACCAUUCGCUUUUCUGACUGCAUCUACAUGGCCUACUUGGCCUGGACUGGUGAAAGAAACUGCAACAUAAUCUAACUAAAGGAGGCUGUUACCUUAAACGAUAAAUAAUUUAUUGGAUGAUAGUAAUCAGGUAAAUGCUGUAUUAGUAAGAUAGACAAUAACAAUUAAGAGACCUAGAUGAAAGGUGUGGAGCUGGAUGAACAUAUAUGCCAAGCAGCAUCUAAGGAGCAGGAAAGCUGACUUUUGGGCCUAGACUCUGACCUAGGUGAUAGACCGUCCACUACAUUGAUGGCUUGAGCACUUGAAAGACAAGGAAGGCAGGCCUAAACUUUUAGGCAAAGGCAUCUCAGUGAUUUUUCACUGAUGUAGGGAUGAUUAAAACAUUUACAAUGAGGAAGUUCAAAUCAUGAAAGUAUACAAUGCAUGUGGGGCACUAAAUUACAGAAUGCCCAUUGAGCAGAUCCCAAAAUCCCAAAGUAAACCACUGAGAAUGUAUUCUUGCUAAUAAGGUUUUUGUAACUACACAAGUUGUAUUUGAGGACUGGAAGGUACCUCAAGUAGCUAUAGUGUUCAAAAUGGUAUGUGAUUGCAAUCAGAGAAUACAAUCAUCUAAGGAAUACAAGUACCUAAUGACAGCUAUCAGAAUGGGUUUAGUAAAAAUGAUUCAUGCCUCAUGAAUCUUUUCAGAUGAUGAUGAAAUUAACAGAUGAAGGUUAUCUGCUUGAUGCUAUUCACUUGAUUCCUGAAGGCAUUUGAUAAGGUUCUACAUGUCGCAGGUUUUCAGAGAACUCAAAGACAAAUAGAGUUAUACUAAUUGAAAUUUGUCUUGACAAGGAGCAUCAAAAAGUUUCUGGAUUGUAAAAUCCAGUAUUUAAAAAGGAUCAAAAUGACAAUUGAAAGCUGUGUGGCACACUGUGUUUCCAUUUGUAUUGAUACAUCAUCUAAGAAUGCAUGCUUGUCAGCUAGGUUUGAAUAACAUAGAUCCUCUACUUAGAAUGAUAUUCCAGAAAUCCAGCGUUACUCUUUUGUGGGUUUCAGGAAAAUGUCCCAUUUGUGUCGUUUUAGACUUAAACCUGAACAAAGUAUACUCAAUGCAUUAGGGACGGCACAACUGAGCAAAUCAUGUGUUACAUAUGGACAGAAUUGGCUUAACCCCAACUCCUCAAUUGGUAAAGGUACUCUGCAAACGAACCAUGAAGAUCACAAAGUUCAGACUUCAGUCUCAGUCUGUGCUGAUGUAAUUAAGUUUAACUGUGUAGCAAUAGGAUCGUGAUGGUUAGUAUUGUGAGUGUGCCUUGCAUCGAAGAGAGUUUGCUUUUCAUGACCCUAUGUGAUGUAUGUAUACAGUAUUGCUAUUCUUCUGGACAGACAGCCUACUUCAGAGUUACACACGAACAUCAGUAGUUUGCUUCAAAACUUAUAAUGUGUUUUACUAUUUUAAAUAAACUAACCUAAACUAAUAAAAACCGAAAGAACUGUGGAUGCUGUAAAUCAGGAACAAAAACACAAGUUGCUGGAAAUGCUCAGCAACCUAAACUAGUGAUCCCCGAUGAGCAAUUAGUGAUUAGGCCAUAAGCAUUAACAUUACACGAUGAACAGUGGUGGAAAGCAUGGUGCUGAUAAGGUCUAUCUUGCUUGAACAGACAGCAAUGAGUUAAUCUACCCGUAGGAUAUGUGUUUCACAGUCCGACAUCAUCUUCUGGCACAUCAAACAGUCCUCAGUUCCUUUGUCACAGCACGGAGAGAGUUGAAAAUGCAACUGGCUGGUAAGCAGACAAAUCCCUAUUUGGAGGCCUGUUUAACUAAUUUGAGAAAUGCAAGAGAUCUGAGUAUGAUAGCAAGCAGAGAGAGAUCAAAUCUGUAUUGUCAAAAUGUUCACAAAAUUCCUCUGUUUGAAAUUUAAAAUGUGUCAGCAGCAUUCAGAACUGCGGUUUCUACAUUUGGGUGUGUCCAGUGCAGUAAAAACAAGCCAUGAAGGUUUGUUUAGGAGUUGGGGUGAAGGUCUAAAAAGAUGUAAUAAAUCAGCGUGAACAGCCGAAGGGAUAAAUGAUCUCUAGAGGAUAUAGACCACAAAUAGAAGAUCAGCUCAGAGUCAGAUUAAACUUCCCUAUUCAUUGACUAAAGUUCAUGUGAUUUGGACACUGGUCUACAGACUCCAUUGACAAAUUCGUGAACAGACGCAGAGAAAAGGACUCAUUGUCUCUGACUUUUCAGUUGGAGAGCUAGCAAACAGAAUUGCUGCAUUGGUGUUUGCGUCCAGCCCCACGGAAACUAUUCAGAAUGAUUUGUUGGACAAACCAGGGCCUUAUAGUGUUGUUCAGUGACAGAUGGAUCCUUGCUGGCCUGCAAAGUGUACAUAUCCUAAAUACAAACUUGAUAGUUGAAACAAUCAUUACAACACCCAAAUGUAGCAAAUUAAGUGCAAGGUGUGGCCUGCUGCAUGAACCAAGGAAAUGCCCAGAUUACAAUCCAUUUUGCAAGUCAUGUGGCAGAAAAGGCCAAUGGUAGAGGCAGUUCACUUUCCAGCAAAGGCUGAAGUAUCCACAUAGAGCCAUACAUGAACCCAAACAGAUCAUACACAUACAGUAUCUGCAAGUUACAGGAACAACCAUCAAUACCCCACCAGAGGCAUGUACAUGAAGUGAUCAACAAGCCAGAACUGAAGAUGCACGUAGUCGGACAAGAGUGGCAAAUACAUAUUUCAUACUGUCUCUCUCAAAGAAAACAUUAGUGUCAUCACCAUCUGAAAUUUGCAAAAAUUCAAAUGAUCUCUCCUCAGAAAAAUGCUGUCUGUCGGCUAAGUUUGAUACUGCAACAAGUGUCAGUAUAUGUCCAUGUAAAUUCUAAGACACAUGAACAUAUAGGCAUGGGAAACCAUCAAACAAACCAAUAAAUAUAAAAUUAUAGUAUUCAACUGUUCACCAAUUCCAAGUAGAGAAUCUGAAAUGCUCAGUGCAAGUACAAUCAAUCUGUCUGGACGUUGUAGAUGUUCUACUUCGUAGACAAUGCUGAACUUGCAAUUUCAUUUCUAUCAUGAUCUCACACUCGCCAUAAAAUUUGGAAUCAGCUAAAAAAAUAGACAUUGUAGAAACUAUUAGCAGACUCAUGAAGAAAUACUUGCAGAACUGAAUAAGAGAAAAGAAGGGAAUACCACCUUCUUCCAAACUGGUGGAGCUAAAAUCUCAGCUGCCUUCUGUGGGGAGAAAAGGAAAGUUAAAGGAGAAAAGCCUGAACCAUUAGAUCAGAAAGAAAUCCAAACUUUGGAAUGUUAUCUCUCAAAUGAUGAACUCUGCUUAGCUCACAAAGAUGAAUGAAGAGCUGAAAACAAAAGAAAGGAAGCAGAGGGAACUAUAAGCUCUGUAUUCUCAAUCCAAUGAGAAGAUUGCCAAUUUAGGGGAAGAUUUGGAAAAAAUAACAUUGAAGACAGAUCAGACUCUGCAGGAGCAAUUACAGAAACUUUGACUUGUGGUUCAAAACAAUGAUACAGAAAAUGAGAGACCUGCAAAAACAGUUUGCAAUGGUAAGCAUGUAAACAAGAAUUUGUAAAUCACUAGUAAGGGAGUUCUUUCAGAAAUAAAUGCCAGCAAUGACAUCCUUUGGAAUAAAUCGCGUGGCAGAGUAAAACAAACAACCACUGAUGAAGAAAUUUAGAAACCAGGCUGCAAACAAAACAAAAAGAUGAACAGUUGGAGUGCCUGGGCAGUUGUUAUGACAGCCUUUUGUAGGAGAAAAACAUACUGUAUCAACAGGCAUGUAAAGUGCUUCUAAAAUUAGCAGAAUCCAGGGUGUAAAACCAAAAGCUACAAAAUGAGCUGGAAGCUCUUGAGGAACAAAGCUUGGCUGAAUUUAUCAGGAGAAGUAAAUUCUGGAAUAGCAACUUGUGAAAAAAGAAUUUGACAGCAGUUCCAGACUGAUACAUGCAGAUUUGAUGAUGGUGAAUCAGCAAAUUACCUCUGUGUCAUAUAAAUCUAACUUGUUAGCACAGAAGUUAUAUUUUCUUCCAAAAGGGAGUGGAAUAUUGUCAGUGUACCUUUCCAUCAAAAGAUUUUGUCUAAACUUCUCAAUGUGCUGUCUGUAUGCAAUGUUUUGACUUCUGGGCGCUAGGUCUACUUUGGGUUUGCAAACCGCACACACGAACACCAGGUGUUUGCUGCAAUGUCUG